RNAcentral lists this ribosomal RNA (230 nucleotides) under Vibrio sp. RNAcentral's name for it is "partial 16S ribosomal RNA". It matches the Rfam family "Bacterial small subunit ribosomal RNA", at positions 46 to 260 of the family's 1533-position model. The record is from RNAcentral. Lineage: Bacteria; Pseudomonadati; Pseudomonadota; Gammaproteobacteria; Vibrionales; Vibrionaceae.
GGCCUAAACAUGCAAGUCGAGCGGAACGACACUAAUAGAUCCUUCGGGAUGCAGUUAAUGGGCGUCGAGCGGCGGACGGGUGAGUAAUGCCUAGGAAAUUGCCUUGAUGUGGGGGAUAACCAUUGGAAACGAUGGCUAAUACCGCAUAAUGCCUACGGGCCAAAGAGGGGGAUCUUCGGACCUCUCGCGUCAAGAUAUGCCUAGGUGGGAUUAGCUAGUUGGUGAGGUAA